Small nucleolar RNA from Ornithorhynchus anatinus (platypus), 138 nucleotides. NCBI's taxonomy places the organism in Eukaryota, Metazoa, Chordata, Mammalia, Monotremata, Ornithorhynchidae. The record is from RefSeq and is a predicted model, not a curated record.
GUCCUCUCAGGGUCGUACCAGGAGAGUUUCCAGUACUCUACCAGUCUCGACUAUGGGAGGAAGAGUCAUGCAGAGGCAUACGCAUUCUAUUCCUUGCUUGGGCAGCAGCUAGAGAGUGGAAGGCCAUCUGCUACAAGU